ACUUUACUAGUCAAGCCGCGGAGUGGGCGGGGCCUCCUGCCCAGACUUGAAGCCACACAGGCAGGUCGGGCAGGCGGGUCCCAGGUUGUAAAUCCAUGUGGCGGGGGCUUUGGACCCUGGCGGCCCAAGCGGCACGUGGGCCUCGCAGAUUGUGCACGCGCCGGAGCAGCGGCGCACCAGCCCCCGGCUCCGGCGCCACCAUCUUCGCGCUAAGCUCUGGCCAAGGCCGCUGCGGCAUCGCAGUGAUCCGGACCAGCGGCCCUGCCAGCGGCCACGCCCUCCGAAUUCUCACGGCACCCCGAGACCUGCCCCUUGCUCGCCACGCCAGCCUGCGCCUGCUCAGCGAUCCCCGCUCCGGGGAGCCUCUGGACCGCGCACUGGUGCUCUGGUUCCCAGGUGAGGGUCCCCAGUAGGUGAGCCUCCUGUAGGUCCCAUGACUCAGUUUCCCCCUUCCAAAGGUUUGCACUAGCUGUGCUGUCCUCCUGACUGUCAGCUGUCUGUCACAUUAGGUCCCCAGAGUUUCACCGGUGAGGACUGCGUGGAGUUCCACGUUCAUGGAGGCCCGGCAGUGGUGAGCGGCGUCCUGCAGGCCUUGG
This 596-nucleotide small RNA is filed under the name Pan troglodytes (chimpanzee). RNAcentral's name for it is "retained intron". The record is from RNAcentral. Lineage: Eukaryota; Metazoa; Chordata; Mammalia; Primates; Hominidae.